GAUUUACUGAUUUUUUUUUGCCUUGAAGAAUUUCACUGAAAUAUUUUUAGGAUGAAAAUGAGCAAAGGAAUUCAUAGGAAGCUCUCAACCACCAUGAUGGCUCUUUGAUGUUUGUAAUUUUUUUUCUUAUAUGCCAUUAGUUCAAAGUAUUGGUCUUCUCCUCCUUUUCCAGUAAUUAGUUGUUAUAGGCUAUCACUUUUUAAUGUAAGCGAAAAUUAGACAAUUUGGUGAUACUUGUGAAAACAUGCUCCCAAAUAAAUUCAAUUUAUGGGCACUUCCCCACUGAGAUUUUGUUAUCAUUCAUCUAAUUAUCUUGUCAAGCUCUCCCUUGUGACAAUUGUUUGGAUUUUUGUAGUCAGCAAACUGAGAGACUUUCUCCAAUGCACUUGACAUAAUAAUAGUGCACACUUCACAUAACCAUCUGUGGUCUCAUCAGACAUUUCCAAUUGAUAUCGACAGUGGCCCUUUCUGAUCCCUUUUCCAAAGCUUUCUCAUUUGAGUUCAUCCUGGAACUUAGCUGGAUUUAUAAGCAGGACAGAAAUUAGCUUCAAUUGACAAGAUAUUUUUAAAGGGCUGCCUAGAAGAUAGAAUUGACUAUCCAACCUCCUGCUGUGCAUAAGUGCCUUUUUCCUGGGUUUUGUUUAUACUACUGUAGAAUUGAGUUCGUAUUUGCAAAUGCUAUGGAAAUCCAAUUUAGAAAGAUGCUUAGAGGAUAACAGUUUUGUAAAGAGCCAAUAAUGUGAGUGAAUUCUUUUUUAGGAAGGUUCCCCCCCACACACACAUUUAAUUCAGCUUGACUUAAUGGCAUCCAAGCCCAGAUCCAUGCUACAAAAUAGACAUUAUGGUGUUUAGGUACUUUUGCUUUGUUGUUACUUUUGUUUUUAUUUUCUCCUUCUUUAGUGGCAACUAUGGGUUUCCUCCUCCUGGUCCACUGAAAAGUAACACAGAUAACUGAUUUCUACUCAACUAAUCUGAGCAUGUAGAACCUUUAGAGAAAAAAAAACAAAAACAAAUUUUAACUGACGUCAAUCAUUAUGAAGGUUUAAUCUAAAACACAAAGGAAAUAUUCAACUUGAUGAGAUGAUAUUUUGUCUUUCAGCUCUUUGAGGAGUAAAACAAAAUCAUGGGCUUCCCAGCCCCAUGUGUUUCCCAGAAAUUAUUCCAUAUUUCCAUUCCAGCAUACUGACAAAACUCUAGUCGAGCAUUUGAGACCUUUGGAGCCAACAUGCUGGAUUUUUCUACAUGGAAGUGAAUCAUAGUCAUUAAAGCUUUAAAGGGAUCUUUAUAAGUACUGUAACACAACAACAAAAAUAUCAGCAGAUGAAAUUAAUACCAAGGGAGCAUUUACUAAAUGCCAUUGGCAGAGUUGAAAUCUAUGUUACACGGUGUGUUUUAUGGGAUUGUUAGUGUUCUUGAUGCCUCAUUUCCACCAACCAGAAAGAACAAAGCAUAUGUCAUGAUUUUUUUUUGUAAAAAAUAAAAAAUAAAAAAAAAUCAAUAAAAAUGUGGGAGAGUGUGCCUUCAGUUUGCUGUAAGUGAUUUAGUUUGUGUUUGGAC
Long non-coding RNA from Sarcophilus harrisii (Tasmanian devil), 1557 nucleotides. Lineage: Eukaryota; Metazoa; Chordata; Mammalia; Dasyuromorphia; Dasyuridae. The record is from Ensembl.